AGCCACAGCCAUAUCACUCUGCAGCCCAAGACUGGUUACUCACUGAAGCUAAUCAGGGCUGAGCCUGGUCAGUAUCUGGAUGGGACAUCACUUUGGAAAAUAGGUUGCUGUCAAAA
Danio rerio (zebrafish) is the source of this 116-nucleotide non-coding RNA. The record is from Rfam. Lineage: Eukaryota; Metazoa; Chordata; Actinopteri; Cypriniformes; Danionidae.